This 41-nucleotide ribosomal RNA is filed under the name Tanacetum cinerariifolium. RNAcentral's name for it is "partial 28S ribosomal RNA". Lineage: Eukaryota; Viridiplantae; Streptophyta; Magnoliopsida; Asterales; Asteraceae. The record is from RNAcentral.
CAACCCAAGGCAAGGCGGACUACCCGCUGAGUUUAAGCAUA